UGGUGGUGUGGGUGUUUGAUCUAGAAGUUUGGAGUCAGGGGUUUGGGAUUGGUAAUUUUGGGAACUACUGAUAUAAACUGAUGAGAAACUGGUACUUUUUCAAACUUUCAAUUAUGGGUUAAUAAGUAUGGAACCUAAAUAGAUUAAAUGUCACAAUAGGAUCUUCUCUUUGUAUUUUGUGAUAUUGUUUGCUAUGCUUCCUAUCAAAAUCUGAUUCUCUCUAGCUGUUGGUGAACUAUUUUCCUAUAGUUGCACUUUAGGAAUAUUUGUUCUACCAUUCUAUCUAUGUAUCAAUCUGCAUUUACCUUACAUUUCCAAUUGUUGCAGUUUAUUUGUCUCAGAUUUGUGUAAUUGUGUUAGAGAUGCAGUUGUCUUUUGUUAAUUUCUUUAUUUGAAGGAUUUUUUUUUUUAA
This 412-nucleotide unclassified non-coding RNA is filed under the name Hevea brasiliensis (rubber tree). The record is from RNAcentral. Lineage: Eukaryota; Viridiplantae; Streptophyta; Magnoliopsida; Malpighiales; Euphorbiaceae.